AAUUCAUCUUAAGCGCCUGAACUAAACAGUUGACGAGGAUUGUAGUUAUCGAAUAUUCGGCGGAUGCUACAACGGAUUGAAGGUUCGUUAGAUAUAUUUAAAAAAGUAAAAACAAUAUUACAACAAAGAAUAUAUCCACUUAAUAU
Molecule: non-coding RNA, 146 nt
Organism: Clostridium sp. CAG:417
Lineage: Bacteria; Bacillati; Bacillota; Clostridia; Eubacteriales; Clostridiaceae
Source: Rfam